Canis lupus familiaris (dog) is the source of this 788-nucleotide long non-coding RNA. RefSeq lists it as uncharacterized. The record is from RefSeq and is a predicted model, not a curated record. NCBI's taxonomy places the organism in Eukaryota, Metazoa, Chordata, Mammalia, Carnivora, Canidae. The transcript has 4 exons.
GCUGAGCCACCCGGGCUGCCCGAGUAUAUAUGUUUUGAAAUGAGAAAGACAGCAUGGAAGAACCAGAAUGGAAUGUUGGGUGUAACUGGGGUCAUUGUGAUGUUCUUGAAUGAACUCUAAUAUAGUUGGGAGGGAACACAUGAAUGGAGAAGAUGAAAGAAAGAUAGAUAUGAAGAUGGGGUAUUUGAAAGCAGAUUUUAUGUCCUUCAAAAAAUUUUUUUAGCUGCUACACCUAUCAGGAAGAUAGAAAACUGAAAUCUAGAGAGCACCAUGUAGGAAAGGCCAUUCCCAACCUGGUUUUCAAUUUGGCUCAUCUUGCUUCUCUGAGAAUCUGCUUGUGGGUCUAUUUCCUUUUCCACAUCCCUUCACAUGUCUCCACAUUGUCACUCUGUUCAUCAAAGCCCGCCCUCAGGAAAGGAGCUGCCGUAUGAGAUUAGCAUUUAAAUCAGUAGAUUUUGAGUAAAGCACAAUGCCCUCCAUAAUGCGAGUGGACCAUAUCCAGUCAAUGAAGGUCUUAUUGAAAAAAACAAAACUGACCUUUCCCAAAGAAGAACUUCUACCUGCAGACUGACCUCAGACUGUAGCAUCAGUUCUUCCUGCGGCAUCCAACCCAUCAGCCUAUCCUGCAGAUUCUGGGAUGCUGUAGUACCGUUCAUUUCAAUGGCAGCCCUGGGAUAAUAUCGUCUUAAGCCAUUGAGAGUGAUAAAGAACCUGCAGAGCAGCAGGGGGAAAAAAAGCAAGCAAGCAAGAGCCUGUAUGGAUUUAAUAUGUUUUUGCUCCUUCAAAAA